This is a long non-coding RNA of Melopsittacus undulatus (budgerigar), 764 nucleotides long. RefSeq lists it as uncharacterized. The transcript has 4 exons. NCBI's taxonomy places the organism in Eukaryota, Metazoa, Chordata, Aves, Psittaciformes, Psittaculidae. The record is from RefSeq and is a predicted model, not a curated record.
CCGACCAGGGAGGGGGCUGCCCCACAGCCGGGGCUCGGCGGCGGCAGCCGGCAGCGCAGCACCCACCGGCCUCGGGGGCGGCGCCGCGGGGACCGGAUCAUGGCCUUUUACAUCUGAGUUAAAAUCUUGCACCAGAAGGACAACUUUUUGUUUGGGUAUUCCACUUCCAGUGGCUUAAAGAGAAACAACAUGACAAGCAUUCUCCUAUGACAAAAACUACGACUGCUACCAAUCUGACCCUGUUUUCUUGCGUGUGAUCUCAGCUUUGAAAGUGUUGCACAGAGACUCAUCAAGGAAACACUGGAAAGACUUGUUCAUUGCUGUCAGUCGCUGAGUCCAUAAUGGCUGUGGUGCAAGCACGGGAUUGACAGAAACACCCAAGAGGCUUCAGCAAGAUUGCCAAACUGGCCAAAACUCAACAGAAAUCAGAAAAAAAAGAUGAAAGAAAAGAAGAGAGAGCUAACAGUGACUGAUGGGCUGCACACAUGGAUCCAUUUGGCACCUACUCAAACUCCUCACAGCCAUUGACUGUGCUCAUUACAUGCCAGAGUUGUGAAUUUGCCCCAGACCCUAUCAGCAAAGGUUUGAAUGUGUCCCAGCUUGGUUGAAAGAGCUUUUCUCCCCCAGAUUUCGGGUAAGCAGAUGAAUGAGAUGUCAGUACCAAUGCCAUACCUCAGUUUUAGCUCCAGAAUCAGAUUUCUCUGCCACAAAGCCAGGCUGUAAAUUUCCCUUUUAUUCCAAAUAAAGAUAAAUCUUUUCCCUAA